This 1539-nucleotide ribosomal RNA is filed under the name Triticum aestivum (bread wheat). Its description in RNAcentral is "partial small subunit ribosomal RNA". Lineage: Eukaryota; Viridiplantae; Streptophyta; Magnoliopsida; Poales; Poaceae. The record is from RNAcentral.
AUGCAAAUCGGCGCCGCGAGCUCUGUCGUGCGACUGGUGAGCUUGUAUCCAAUAUCCGCGCACAAGGGCAGCGGUGGCCGGCCGCGCCGGGAGCACGGGGUGAUGAAGGGCCCGGACAAGAGGAGCAGCACGCAGGGGAGCGCCGCGUUCCAGUCGCUGCGGCUCGUCUUCGUCCUCGCGACCGUCAUGUGGGCGUCCUUCCUCUACUACCACUUCACCGCGCUCAGCGCCGGGGCAAUGAGGGCGACGGUGCUGGACGGCGCCAGCGCCGACCCGUGCCGGGGCCGGUACGUCUACGUGCACGACCUGCCGCCGCGCUUCAACGCCGACAUCCUCCGCGACUGCCAGAACACCAGCGACCAGUACCGCUGGCCCGACAUGUGCGGCUUCGUCAGCAACGCCGGCCUGGGCCGCCCGCUCGCCGACCCGCUCGACGGGGACUUCACCGGCGACAACGGCUGGUACGGCACCCACCAGUUCGCGCUCGACGCCAUCUUCCACAACCGGAUGUGGCAGUACGAGUGUCUGACGACCCACUCCGCCCUCGCCAACGCCGUCUUCGUCCCCUUCUACGCCGGCUUCGACUUCGUGCGCUACCACUGGGGCUACGACAACGCCACCAGGGACGCCGCGUCGGUCGACCUCACGGACUGGCUCAUGCGCCGGCCGGAGUGGGCGCGCGCGGGCGGGAGAGACCACUUCCUCGUCGCCGGCAGGACGGGGUUUGACUUCCGGCGGAGCAACAACAUGAACCCGAGCUGGGGCACCAACCUGCUCAACAUGCCGGGCGGGCGGGAGAUGUCGGUGCUGGUGCUGGAGGUGUCACGGGUGCCCCAUAGCCGGGAGUACGCUGUGCCGUACCCGACCUACUUCCACCCGAGGUCCGACGCCGACGUGCGCCGGUGGCAGGAAAGGGUGCGCGGUCUGGAGCGCCGGUCGCUGAUAGCGUUCGUCGGCGCACCGCGGCCGGACAACCCGUACAACAUCCGGCAGCAGAUCAUCGCGCAGUGCGAGGCCUCCGACGCGUGCCGGCAGCUGGGCUGCGCGUUCGGCACCAGCCAGUGCCACACCCCCGGCAACAUCAUGCGGCUGUUCCAGAGGGCCACCUUCUGCCUGCAGCCCACCGGCGACUCCUACACGCGGCGGUCGGCGUUCGACUCCAUGGUGGCCGGCUGCAUCCCGGUGUUCUUCCACCCGGUGUCGGCGUACCUGCAGUACAGGUGGCACCUCCCGGAGCACCACGAAACGUACUCGGUGUUCAUCCCGGAGGACGGCGUGCGGUCGCGGAACGUGAGCAUCGAGGCCGUGCUCCGGGCGAUCCCGCCGGAGACGGUGGAGCGGAUGCGGGACGAGGUGAUAAAGCUGAUACCCAGGCUGGUGUACGCGGACCCAAGGUCGAAGCUGGAGACGGUGAAGGACGCCUUCGACGUCGCCGUCAAGGGGAUCAUCGACAGAGUGGCCAGGGCCCGGGCCGAGGCGGCGGGGGAGGACUCGUCGUUCAGUCACGCCAUGGAGAUGUUUAGGUUCCGGAGAAAGUAA